Long non-coding RNA from Orcinus orca (killer whale), 422 nucleotides. RefSeq lists it as uncharacterized. NCBI's taxonomy places the organism in Eukaryota, Metazoa, Chordata, Mammalia, Artiodactyla, Delphinidae. The record is from RefSeq and is a predicted model, not a curated record. The transcript has 3 exons.
CAGACACUUAUACACUGGUAGCAGAGACAGAGGCAAAGACUUUUUCCUCUAAUUCCUGUUCUACUGCUUAAGCUACCCCCCAAGACCUCCCUUCAAGAAAUUUUAAGUAGUUCCUCUUGUUUAAGAAGUUGCCAAAUUGAAACACAUCAGCAAUCACGCAGCUGAGGAAGGCUGGACUCAGUUUUCCUGUUUUUACAAGAGGGCUACACGAUUCACAAGCACCCUUCUCUCUCUGACAUUCUAUUUAUCUGACUGAGUUGGGACUGGGGCUCACCCUAAGAAUUCUGCCUACCACUGUCGGGCAAAGCAAGCAAUAGUGAUGUGUGUUUAACUUUUGUGCAUAGAAGAUGGUUAGCAUUUCUACAGGAUGGUAAUAAUGACCAUUUAUUGAGUGCUUGCCUAGUGUUGACCUAAAAUAAAUA